This 79-nucleotide transfer RNA is filed under the name Escherichia coli. Its description in RNAcentral is "tRNA-OTHER". Lineage: Bacteria; Pseudomonadati; Pseudomonadota; Gammaproteobacteria; Enterobacterales; Enterobacteriaceae. The record is from RNAcentral. RNAcentral also lists the same sequence under 26 other names.
GUCCGGAUUACCCGUGAAAGCCAGAACAAUGGGAUUGAAAAUCCCCGUGUCCUUGGUUCGAUUCCGAGUCCGGGCACCA